RNAcentral lists this unclassified non-coding RNA (317 nucleotides) under Hevea brasiliensis (rubber tree). Lineage: Eukaryota; Viridiplantae; Streptophyta; Magnoliopsida; Malpighiales; Euphorbiaceae. The record is from RNAcentral.
AUUUAGUCCCUCCAUUAAAUUUUCCGUUAGUCAAUAUUAGUUAACUUACUAUUUAAUCCAUUUAUUUUAGUGAAACUAAUUAAUUAGCCAUUAUAUUUUGGAAAAAAACAUUAAUUGGUCUCUGAAAUGUGACUCUGUUAACUAUUUAAUUUUAUAAUUAUUUUUUUUAUACAUAAACUACUUUAAUUCUCUCCCCUUGUUUCUUUUUUAUCGUUUCUUUUUUAUCAUUUCUUAUUUCUCUCUCUAUGUUUCUUUUCCUCUAUAAUCACAUUUUUCUUCCCUUUUUUCUCUAUUUGUUUUCACUUGUCAAUAAAAAU